AUCCUUUUCCUGUUCAUAAACAUGAUGAUUGCAUUGUCACACGCUUGUGUGACAUGUGUCUCCCUCAAACCUUGUUAGAAUGUGAGCACAUCUGACU
Molecule: small nucleolar RNA, 97 nt
Filed under: Dipodomys ordii (Ord's kangaroo rat)
Lineage: Eukaryota; Metazoa; Chordata; Mammalia; Rodentia; Heteromyidae
Description: Small nucleolar RNA U13
Rfam family: Small nucleolar RNA U13
Source: Rfam by way of RNAcentral